CCUACGGGUGGCUGCAGUAGGGAAUAUUGCUCAAUGGGGGAAACCCUGAAGCAGCAACGCCGCGUGGGGGAUGAAGGUUUUCGGAUUGUAAACUCCUUUUGUUAGAGAAGAUAAUGACGGUAUCUAACGAAUAAGCACCGGCUAACUACGUGCCAGCAGCCGCGGUAAUACGGAGGGUGCAAGCGUUACUCGGAAUCACUGGGCGGAAAGAGCGCGGAGGCGGGAUAGCAAGUCAGAUGUGAAAUCCUAUGGGUUAACCCUAGAACUGCAUUUGAAACUGGUAUUCUAGAGUAUGGGAGAGGUAGGUGGAAUUCGUGGUGUAGGGGUAAAAUGCGUAGAGAUCAAGAGGAAUACUCAUUGCGAAGGCGACCUGCUAGAACAUAACUGACGCUGAUGCGCGAAAGCGUGGGGAGCAAACAGGAUUAGAUACCCCAGUAGUC
RNAcentral lists this ribosomal RNA (440 nucleotides) under uncultured bacterium. RNAcentral describes it as "partial 16S ribosomal RNA". It matches the Rfam family "Bacterial small subunit ribosomal RNA", at positions 338 to 795 of the family's 1533-position model. The record is from RNAcentral.